RNAcentral lists this ribosomal RNA (253 nucleotides) under uncultured prokaryote. Its description in RNAcentral is "partial 16S ribosomal RNA". It matches the Rfam family "Bacterial small subunit ribosomal RNA", at positions 524 to 776 of the family's 1533-position model. The record is from RNAcentral.
GACGAACCGUGCGAACGUUGUUCGGAAUCACUGGGCUUAAAGGGCGCGUAGGCGGGUCACCAAGUCCGGGGUGAAAUCUUUCGGCUUAACCGGAAAACUGCCUUGGAUACUGGUGACCUCGAGGGAGGUAGGGGUCUGCGGAACUUCUGGUGGAGCGGUGAAAUGCGUUGAUAUCAGAAGGAACGCCGGUGGCGAAAGCGGCGGACUGGACCUCCGCUGACGCUGAGGCGCGAAAGCUAGGGGAGCAAACGGG